AGAGUUUGAUCCUGGCUCAGGAUGAACGCUAGCGGCAGGCUUAACACAUGCAAGUCGAGGGGUAACAGGAUCUUCGGAUCGCUGACGACCGGCGCACGGGUGAGUAACGCGUAUGCAACCUACCUAUAGCUGGGGCAUAGCCCGGAGAAAUUCGGAUUAAUACCCCAUAAUAUUCCUGAAAGGCAUCUUUUAGGUCUUAAAGUUUCGACGGCUAUAGAUGGGCAUGCGUGCCAUUAGCUAGUUGGUGAGGUAACGGCUCACCAAGGCUACGAUGGCUAUGGGGUCUUAAAGGAUGAUCCCACACACUGGUACUGAGACACGGACCAGACUCCUACGGGAGGCAGCAGUGAGGAAUAUUGGGCAAUGGACGAAAGUCUGACCCAGCCAUGCCGCGUGCAGGAUGAAUGCCUUAUGGGUUGUAAACUGCUUUUCUACGAGAAGAAAAGACUCCACGUGUGGAGGACUGACGGUACCGUAGGAAUAAGCAUCGGCUAACUCCGUGCCAGCAGCCGCGGUAAUACGGAGGAUGCAAGCGUUAUCCGGAUUUAUUAGGUUUAAAGGGUGCGUAGGCGGGAUGGUAAGUCAGUGGUGAAAUCCUGCAGCUUAACUGUAGAACUGCCAUUGAUACUGUCAUUCUUGAGUACAGUCGAGGUAGGCGGAAUGUGUAAUGUAGCGGUGAAAUGCUUAGAUAUUACACAGAACACCGAUUGCGUAGGCAGCUUACUAGACUGUUACUGACGUUGAGGCACGAAAGCGUGGGGAGCGAACAGGAUUAGAUACCCUGGUAGUCCACGCCGUAAACGAUGAUCACUCGUUGUGUGCGAUAUAUAGUACGCGACUGAGCGGAAGCAUUAAGUGAUCCACCUGGGGAGUACGUUCGCAAGAAUGAAACUCAAAGGAAUUGACGGGGGCCCGCACAAGCGGAGGAACAUGUGGUUUAAUUCGAUGAUACGCGAGGAACCUUACCUGGGCUUAAAUGUCUUACAUCCUUCGGGAGAUGCUUAUUGAAAGAUAAGUGAAAGAGUCAAGGUGCUGCAUGGCUGUCGUCAGCUCGUGCCGUGAGGUGUCGGGUUAAGUCCCAUAACGAGCGCAACCCCUAUCCUUAGUUGCCAGCGGAUAAUGCCGGGGACUCUAAGGAGACUGCCACCGUAAGGUGUGAGGAAGGUGGGGAUGACGUCAAGUCAGCACGGCCCUUACGUCCAGGGCUACACACGUGUUACAAUGGCCGAUACAAAGGGCAGCUACUUGGUGACAAGAUGCUAAUCUCAAAAGUCGGUCUUAGUUCGGAUUGAAGUCUGAAACUCGACUUCAUGAAGUUGGAUUCGCUAGUAAUCGUAUAUCAGCAACGAUACGGUGAAUACGUUCCCGGGCCUUGUACACACC
Molecule: ribosomal RNA, 1383 nt
Filed under: metagenome
Description: bacterial SSU rRNA
Rfam family: Bacterial small subunit ribosomal RNA
Source: RNAcentral